GAGAAUUUAAUUUCUAUGUCUGUGCUAGCACAGAAAGAUUUUGAAAUUAGUUUCAAUAAAAAUUUUUAUUUUAUUUAUUUAUAAAAUAAAUUAGUUGCAUGAGAUCUUUUAAUUGAUAGUCUUUAUCACUUGCAUAUUGAUACGAAUAUGAACCUAAACGAGCAAAUAGUGAGUGCUAUAGGCCAAAAGAGAUCCAGAGAUGAAAUUAACCAGAAGUACUUGUGGCACCAUAGACUAGGCC
Molecule: long non-coding RNA, 241 nt
Filed under: Elaeis guineensis (African oil palm)
Lineage: Eukaryota; Viridiplantae; Streptophyta; Magnoliopsida; Arecales; Arecaceae
Description: long non-coding RNA (EGUI_LNC055423)
Source: RNAcentral